AGGCGGGGAGGGGGAUGGAGUGAUGAGAGAUAAGAAGAGUGAAGGAAAGAGAGACCUGCUUGGUAUUCACCUGUCUCUCUGGAUCAAUAAAGGAGCAACAAUGUGAUGCAGAGUCCUCUCAAAAAUGUGGACUGGAGGUUUGUGGUUCUCUAUAACAUCUUGCCAAAGGACUGCAGUUGCGAAUUAGCCGGCUGGCUAAAACUGGCACAUUUACAGUAACACUGUUGAUUAAUGUGUACUGUCCUUUUGUAAAUAAAUAAACUGAAAC
Long non-coding RNA from Epinephelus lanceolatus (giant grouper), 268 nucleotides. RefSeq lists it as uncharacterized. The record is from RefSeq and is a predicted model, not a curated record. Lineage: Eukaryota; Metazoa; Chordata; Actinopteri; Perciformes; Serranidae.